This 446-nucleotide ribosomal RNA is filed under the name uncultured bacterium. RNAcentral describes it as "partial 16S ribosomal RNA". It matches the Rfam family "Bacterial small subunit ribosomal RNA", at positions 338 to 795 of the family's 1533-position model. The record is from RNAcentral.
CCUACGGGGGGCAGCAGUCGAGAAUCAUUCACAAUGGUGGAAACCCUGAUGGUGCGACGCCGCGUGGGGGAAUGAAGGUCUUCGGAUUGUAAACCCCUGUCAUGUGGGAGCAAAUUAAAAAGAUAGUACCACAAGAGGAAUAGACGGCUAACUCUGUGCCAGGAGCCGCGGUAAUACAGAGGUCUCAAGCGGUGUUCGGAAUCACUGGGCGUAAAGCGUGCGUAGGCUGUUUCGUAAGUCGUGUGUGAAAGGCGCGGGCUCAACCCGCGGACGGCACAUGAUACUGCGAGACUAGAGUAAGGGAGAGGGAACCGGAAUUCUCGGUGUAGCAGUGAAAUGCGUAGAUAUCGAGAGGAACACUCGUGGCGAAGGCGGGUUCCUGGACAUUAACUGACGCUGAGGCACGAAGGCCAGGGGAGCGAAAGGGAUUAGAUACCCCAGUAGUC